Molecule: ribosomal RNA, 449 nt
Filed under: uncultured bacterium
Lineage: Bacteria
Description: bacterial SSU rRNA
Rfam family: Bacterial small subunit ribosomal RNA
Source: RNAcentral
GCCAGACUCCUACGGGAGGCAGCAGUGGGGAAUAUUGCACAAUGGGGGGAACCCUGAUGCAGCGACGCCGCGUGAAGGAAGAAGUAUUUCGGUAUGUAAACUUCUAUCAGCAGGGAAGAAAAAGGACGGUACCUGACUAAGAAGCCCCGGCUAACUACGUGCCAGCAGCCGCGGUAAUACGUAGGGGGCGAGCGUUAUCCGGAUUUACUGGGUGUAAAGGGGGCGCAGACGGCCAUGGCAAGCCCGGUGUGAAAGGUGCGGGCACAACCCGCAGACUGCACUGGUAACUGCCUGGCUGGAGUGCCGGAGGGGUAAGCGGAAUUCCUGGUGUAGCGGUGAAAUGCAUAGAUAUCACGCAGAACUCCGAUUGCGAAGGCAGCGCACCGGCGCCCUACUGACGCUCAGGCACGAAAGCGUGGGUAUCGAACAGGAUUAGAUACCCGGGUAAA